GAACCGGACAAACGUUAUUCGGAAUUAUUGGGCUUAAAGGGUGCGUAGGCGGCGCGGUAAGUGAGGUGUGAAAGCCCACGACUCAAUCGUGGAAUUGCGCUUCAUACUGCCGUGCUAGAGGGAGACAGAGGUAAGCGGAACUGAUGGUGGAGCGGUGAAAUGCGUUGAUAUUAUCAGGAACACCGGUGGCGAAGGCGGCUUACUGGGUCUCUUCUGACGCUGAGGCACGAAAGCUAGGGUAGCGAACGGGAUUAGAUACCCCGGUAGUCCUAGCUGUAAACGAUGAGCACUUGGUUGGGGAACCUCCCAUAGUUUCCCGACCGCAGCGAAAGUGUUAAGUGCUCCGCCUGGGGAGUAUGGUCGCAAGGCUG
This 371-nucleotide ribosomal RNA is filed under the name uncultured organism. RNAcentral describes it as "partial 16S ribosomal RNA". It matches the Rfam family "Bacterial small subunit ribosomal RNA", at positions 527 to 896 of the family's 1533-position model. The record is from RNAcentral.